AGCCGGGCCCCACGCAACGGUACGCCGUGAACUCCGCCAGGUCCGGAAGGAAGCAACGGCAGCGGCUUCCCCGUGUGCCGUGGGUAAGCCCGGCUAUC
This 98-nucleotide signal recognition particle RNA is filed under the name Oryzomonas rubra. Its description in RNAcentral is "Bacterial small signal recognition particle RNA". It matches the Rfam family "Bacterial small signal recognition particle RNA". Rfam says of the family: The signal recognition particle (SRP) is a universally conserved ribonucleoprotein involved in the co-translational targeting of proteins to membranes. Archaeal SRP consists of a 7S RNA and homologues of the eukaryotic SRP19 and SRP54 proteins. The record is from Rfam by way of RNAcentral. Lineage: Bacteria; Pseudomonadati; Thermodesulfobacteriota; Desulfuromonadia; Geobacterales; Geobacteraceae. RNAcentral also lists the same sequence under 1 other name.